AUGCCGGCUAAGUGAAUUUCUUGCCACAGUCUUAGCCUAAUUCACAAGGCUGGGCAAUACUUUCGCUUGCGCCGGCUA
Molecule: non-coding RNA, 78 nt
Organism: Pristionchus pacificus
Lineage: Eukaryota; Metazoa; Nematoda; Chromadorea; Rhabditida; Neodiplogasteridae
Source: Rfam